CUUACGGUGAUGCUGAUUUGAUUACUAAAUUGACAAGUGAGAAGAAAAUCUUUAAGAAUGCUGAAGGAGACUUUGGGAGACAGUCUGCAAUACGUGAGCGAAGCACAGUGAUGCCUGAUCAAUGGUGGGAAUCUUAUGGAUGUGGAGCACCAAACCUGCAAAAGUUAGCAAUUCGUGUUUUGAGUCAAACUUGCAGUUCUUCAGGUUGUGAGCGUAACUGAAGCAUUUUCGAACACAUUCACUCAAAGAAAAAGAAUCGGUUAGAGCAUCAAAAGCUUAAUGAUCUUGUUUAUGUUCAUUACAACUUAAGGCUACAACAAAGGAACCGAAUGAGAAAGCAAAGUUAUGAUCCAAUUUGUCUUGAUGCAUUUGAGGAUCAUUCGGAAUGGAUAAUGGAAGAUUCACCACCAUUUUUAACUCCUGAAGAAGUUGAUGCUUUACGGAAUGAUCUUGCAAAUAUGUCUCUUCAAUCAGCUUUAGAUGAUUUGGGUAUGUUGUUGUUAGGGAUGAUUUUGUAAUGCUUUAACCAAAUAUUUUGCCUUAUUAUUGAUUAUGAUUUGUGAAACAUUAUUGAAAUGCUAGAUG
Molecule: non-coding RNA, 585 nt
Organism: Arachis ipaensis
Lineage: Eukaryota; Viridiplantae; Streptophyta; Magnoliopsida; Fabales; Fabaceae
Source: RefSeq, a predicted model, not a curated record